AUAAGACUCUCGGCAAUGGAUAUCUAGGCCCUCGCAUCGAUGAAGAACGUAGCAAAAUGUGAUACUUGGUGUG
This 73-nucleotide ribosomal RNA is filed under the name Aponogeton tenuispicatus. RNAcentral's name for it is "partial 5.8S ribosomal RNA". It matches the Rfam family "5.8S ribosomal RNA", at positions 1 to 69 of the family's 154-position model. Rfam says of the family: 5.8S ribosomal RNA (5.8S rRNA) is a component of the large subunit of the eukaryotic ribosome. It is transcribed by RNA polymerase I as part of the 45S precursor that also contains 18S and 28S rRNA. Lineage: Eukaryota; Viridiplantae; Streptophyta; Magnoliopsida; Alismatales; Aponogetonaceae. The record is from RNAcentral.